GAUGGACGCUGGCGGCGUGCCUAAUACAUGCAAGUCGAGCGAACGGACGAGAAGCUUGCUUCUCUGAUGUUAGCGGCGGACGGGUGAGUAACACGUGGAUAACCUACCUAUAAGACUGGGAUAACUUCGGGAAACCGGAGCUAAUACCGGAUAAUAUUUUGAACCGCAUGGUUCAAAAGUGAAAGACGGUCUUGCUGUCACUUAUAGAUGGAUCCGCGCUGCAUUAGCUAGUUGGUAAGGUAACGGCUUACCAAGGCAACGAUGCAUAGCCGACCUGAGAGGGUGAUCGGCCACACUGGAACUGAGACACGGUCCAGACUCCUACGGGAGGCAGCAGUAGGGAAUCUUCCGCAAUGGGCGAAAGCCUGACGGAGCAACGCCGCGUGAGUGAUGAAGGUCUUCGGAUCGUAAAACUCUGUUAUUAGGGAAGAACAUAUGUGUAAGUAACUGUGCACAUCUGGACGGUACCUAAUCAGAAAGCCACGGCUAACUACGU
Molecule: ribosomal RNA, 496 nt
Filed under: uncultured bacterium
Lineage: Bacteria
Description: partial 16S ribosomal RNA
Rfam family: Bacterial small subunit ribosomal RNA
Source: RNAcentral